Molecule: ribosomal RNA, 253 nt
Filed under: uncultured bacterium
Lineage: Bacteria
Description: partial 16S ribosomal RNA
Rfam family: Bacterial small subunit ribosomal RNA
Source: RNAcentral
UACGUAGGGAGCAAGCGUUGUCCGGAAUUAUUGGGCGUAAAGCGCGCGCAGGCGGUCCUUUAAGUCUGAUGUGAAAGCCCACGGCUCAACCGUGGAAGGUCAUUGGAAACUGGGGGACUUGAGUGCAGAAGAGGAAAGUGGAAUUCCAAGUGUAGCGGUGAAAUGCGUAGAGAUUUGGAGGAACACCAGUGGCGAAGGCGACUUUCUGGUCUGUAACUGACGCUGAGGCGCGAAGGCCAGGGGAGCAAACGGG